This 398-nucleotide unclassified non-coding RNA is filed under the name Hevea brasiliensis (rubber tree). The record is from RNAcentral. Lineage: Eukaryota; Viridiplantae; Streptophyta; Magnoliopsida; Malpighiales; Euphorbiaceae.
CGACACCUCCCGCCAUACCUUCCCGCGUGAAGGAAGAACUAUGCCCUAGCUCGUUGUCAAGCCCUAAAAACCAAGCUACAAGGGUGGAAGUUAGGGUAAGGGAAGGAAGGGCAGUCAACAUCCACAUGUUUUGUGCUCGCAGACCAGGUUUAUUGCUCUCCACUAUGAGGGCUCUGGACAACCUUGGGUUAGAUAUUCAGCAGGCUGUCAUCAGUUGUUUCAAUGGGUUUGCACUCGAUGUGUUUCGAGCUGAGCAAUGCAGGGAAGGUCAGGAUGUCUUACCAGAGCAAAUCAAAGCAGUACUUCUUGAUUCAGCUGGCUUUCAUGGAAUGAUGUGACCCGCAGUUUGUAUACAUGCAAAUCAUAUCUACAAACUGAGGCACUAACUUUAGUUCUCU